UAGUCUCGCACAGAUGCAUAUCAAUAAGCGGAGGAAAAGAAACUAACAAGGAUUCCCCUAGUAACGGCGAGUGAAGCGGGAAGAGCUCAAAUUUGAAAUCUUAAAGGGUUUCCCUUUACGAAUUGUAGUUUAAAGAAGUGUUUUCUGUUGAGGUUUUGGUAAAAGUUCUUUGGAAUAGGACAUCAUAGAGGGUGAGAAUCCCGUAUUUGACCUUUACUUUCAACUUUGUGAUACACUUUCAAAGAGUCGGAUUGUUUGGGAAUGCAGUCCAAAAUGGGUGGUAAAUUUCAUCUAAAGCUAAAUAUUGGCGAAGAGACCGAUAGCGAACAAGUACCGUGAGGGAAAGAUGAAAAGAACUUUGAAAAGAGAGUUAAACAGUACGUGAAAUUGUCAAAAGGGAAGCGUUUGACACCAGUGUUGUUUUUCUGUAAAUCAAUUAAAGAACUGUUUAUGCUAAGUCUGUUUAGACUUUAUCAGCUAAUCUGUUUAGUUUUGAGCUUUUCUUUAAUGCACUUUUCAGUUAAUCAAGUCAACAUCAAUUUCUUUUGCUGUAAAAAAGCUUGAGGAAGGUGGCUUGAGAUUCGUCUUAAGUGUUUAUAGCCUCUUGCCUAUGCAGUCGGAGAGAUUGAGGUCUGCAGCGUAGAUCCUUCGGGGCUAAAUGCAUUUGUGCUAAGUUAUAGCAUUUCAUAGACAACUUGUUGACUAUGAUUUGUCUUGUAGCUUACUCGCUUAUGUUAUUUUACCUACGCUUAGGAUGUUGACAGCAGUAUAGACUGU
RNAcentral lists this ribosomal RNA (777 nucleotides) under uncultured Neocallimastigales. RNAcentral describes it as "partial large subunit ribosomal RNA". It matches the Rfam family "Eukaryotic large subunit ribosomal RNA", at positions 24 to 629 of the family's 3401-position model. The record is from RNAcentral. Lineage: Eukaryota; Fungi; Neocallimastigomycota; Neocallimastigomycetes; Neocallimastigales.